RNAcentral lists this ribosomal RNA (208 nucleotides) under uncultured Streptococcus sp. RNAcentral's name for it is "partial 16S ribosomal RNA". It matches the Rfam family "Bacterial small subunit ribosomal RNA", at positions 1179 to 1382 of the family's 1533-position model. Lineage: Bacteria; Bacillati; Bacillota; Bacilli; Lactobacillales; Streptococcaceae. The record is from RNAcentral.
UGGACGUCAAAUCAUCAUGCCCCUUACUGACCUGGGCUACACACGUGCUACAAUGGUUGGUACAACGAGUUGCGAGUCGGUGACGGCGAGCUAAUCUACUUAAAGCCAAUCUCAGUUCGGAUUGUAGGCUGCAACUCGCCUACAUGAAGUCGGAAUCGCUAGUAAUCGCGGAUCAGCACGCCCGCGGUCGAAUACGUUCCCGGGCCUU